This 484-nucleotide ribosomal RNA is filed under the name uncultured bacterium. Its description in RNAcentral is "partial 16S ribosomal RNA". It matches the Rfam family "Bacterial small subunit ribosomal RNA", at positions 30 to 507 of the family's 1533-position model. The record is from RNAcentral.
AUUGAACGCUGGCGGCAUGCCUUACACAUGCAAGUCGAACGGUAACAGGUCUUUCGGGAUGCUGACGAGUGGCGAACGGGUGAGCAAUACAUCGGAACGUGCCUAGUAGUGGGGGAUAACUACUCGAAAGAGUGGCUAAUACCGCAUGAGAUCUAUGGAUGAAAGCAGGGGACCUUUGGGCCUUGUGCUACUAGAGCGGCCGAUGGCAGAUUAGGUAGUUGGUGGGAUAAAAGCUUACCAAGCCUACGAUCUGUAGCUGGUCUGAGAGGACGAUCAGCCACACUGGGACUGAGACACGGCCCAGACUCCUACGGGAGGCAGCAGUGGGGAAUUUUGGACAAUGGGCGCAAGCCUGAUCCAGCAAUGCCGCGUGCAGGAUGAAGGCCUUCGGGUUGUAAACUGCUUUUGUACGGAACGAAAAGUCUUGGGUUAAUACCCUGGGAUCAUGACGGUACCGUAAGAAUAAGCACCGGCUAACUACGUG